GUCAGAAGGAGGAAGUGUGCUGCCUCAGUGGGAACAGCGGAUGACUCGGGGCAGAAGUCGGGAACCGGGUUCAGAUGAAGAUGCAGGUGCUAGCACGGGGCUAUCGGGGAGGAGAAGAAUGGCCUGCGGGCGCCGGGGUGUGGGACAGGCUGAGGAAAACCGGCGAAGGCCCCUCCUGGCCUCACCGGACCCUGCGACCGGGCCUGAGGAGGUGAUGGGCGCGCAGGGGGGCGUCACGCGCUUGCAGACGACGGAGAUACGCGGCGGAUAGGGGGGAAGAUGGAAGGCAAGCUCACCUUCUUCACAGCUGGCUGGAAGUGAAAGUCACCGGCCUCCUUCAGGUCCAGCCAGAUCAUGGGCAUGCGGGGCACGGCCUCCAUGGCGGCUGGCACCCGCCGGCCACCCGGCCACUCCCGUAGCUGCUGCAGCUGCUGGCUCAGCCACGAGCCCAGCCCCGCCCCUUCGUGCCGGAAGUCACUGGUCACGGGAGGGAAUGAAAAAUGCCAGCGGCCUGCCGGGAGUUGCAGUGAACCCAGCCACCCGCUCGCGUAGUCUUUUGCGCAGGCGCUGUCCCUGUUGCGCAUGCUCAGUCUUCUUCGCGCGGAGGGAGUAGGGCGGGGAGGAGCUCGCCAGCCCGAGGCGAAACGGCUUCUGGGAUAGUAGUCUUCAUCCACUAAACUGAGAGGCGCGGAGCGAGCUUAUUCCCCGCUCCCGGGCCAAGCCCAGCUGCGGGUCCCGCCCGCCGCGCUCCUCCCUCCUAGGAAGAGCAUGAGACCUCACCUAUGAACUUGCCCUCCCACGUAUUGUCAAGAGCCGUGGAGGACUGGUGCUGUGGUAGAGAUGACGUGGCGGGCGGGCCGCUGGAAAGAGAUGACGCGAAAACGGGCCUUAGAGAGGGUGCGGAGGGAGCACCUGGCCUGAAGGAGUCGGGGCUGAGAGCUGGGGGUUUCAGUCCCAGUGCUGCGAAGGCUUUCGAGCUUUGGAACAGAAUCACUGACCGGAGACUGGCCUACUCAGCCCAGCCUGGGAGGCCGGGCAGUGCCCAAGGGAGACGGACGAUAGGGAGGGAGCGCCUGGAUGGAGGGUCUCAAGCGGAGUGAGGAGGCCCCGGGCCCUGUGGGGAAGUGGGUGGGGGAAGGUAUACGGCCAGGUGAGCACCCAGGGACGCCCACAGUAUCUGGAAGGAGACCACGGAAUGGAGAGCACCUGUUGCCUCUGGAGAGGGGACCUAUAGAGCAGGAAUUGUUAAAUCAUAUGGCUGUAUCACCUACUUUUAGAAAUAAAUAAUAGGCUACUCGGGAGGCUGAGGCUGGAGGUUCAAUCGCUUGACCUGGGAGGCGGAGAUUGCGGUGAGCCUAGAUCUUGCCACUGCUCUCCAGCCUGAGCGACAGAGCGAGACUCCGUCUCAAAAUAAUAAUAGUAACAAUAGAAAUAACAGAGAAUGGCCUGGAGAUAGUGAGUGCAAAAGUGCGAGCUGGGAGAUCAGUGAGCCUUUUGUAGUCUUCCAGGAGACAGGUGAUUGUGGCUUGGAGCAGAGGGAAGUAAAAAGUGAGCAAAGAAAUAUUUUGCCCACUUUGAGAAAUAUUUGAGGAAUAUUUUGGAGACAAAAGUAUCAGAACUUGGAAUGGAUGGAUGUAAGGGCAUGAGGACGUCGAAUAUGAUUUCCAAGCUUCUGGCUUGUGCAGGUGGGUGGCUGUGGGGCUGUUUACUGAUAAGGGAAAACAAGGGAAGAGCAAAGGUUCAGGUCCGUGUUAAGCUCGAGGUCAAGGCCUUUGACUCGUUCUGGAUGAAAUGUGGAGACCACGAUGCCGGGUGCGGUGGUUCACGCUUGUAAUCCCAUCACUUUGGGAGGCCGAGGCGGGCGGAUCGCUUAAGCCCGGGAGUUCAAGACCAGCCUAGCCCACAUGGCCAAACCCCGUCCCUACAAAAAAUAUAAAAAUUAGCAGGACAUGGUGGCUCAUGUACGCCUGUAGUCCCAGCUACUCAGGAGGCUGAGGCGGGAGGAACCUUGAGCCCGGGAGGCAGAGGUUGCAGUGAGCCGUGAUUGUGCCAUUGUACUCCAGCCUGGGCGACAAAAGUGAAACCAUGUGUUAAAAAAAAAAAAAAGAAAAGAAAAAGAAAAAUUAUGGAGACCGUGGGAUGUGGGUGGGAUCUGGGAUUCUAAGACAGGCUUCACCCACAAGGUAGAGCCCAGGUCCCUUUGUUGUGAGACCUCAAACCCUUUCAAGACUUAGUCAAGGGCCUAGCUUCAUUCCAGUUGGAGUUAGAGCAGAAGAAAAUGAAAUUACAUGAAUGUUCAUAGCAGUACCAUUUCACAGUAGCCAAAAGAGAAGCAAUCCAUGCAGUGAUGGAUGGAUGCAUGAAUAAAGAUGAUGUGUGUACAUACAAUGGAAUAUUAUUCAGCCUUAAAAAGGAAUGAAAUUCUGUUACAUGCUGCAACAUGAAUGAACCCUGAAGACAUUAUGCUAAGUGAAAUAAGCCAGUUGCAAAAGGACAAAUACUGUAUUCUGCUUAUCUGAGAUACCUAGUUAGUCAGAGUUAUGGAGACAGAAAGUAGAAUGGUGUCUGUUGGGCUAGGGGAGGGGAGAAUGGAGAGUUACUGUUUAAUGGCUGUAUAACAAUCUGAACAAUUUAAUGCCACUGAACUGUAUGCUUGAAAUUGUAAACUUUGUGGCUGGGCACGGUAGCUCACACCUGUAAUUCCAGCACUUUGGGAGGCCAAGGCGAGUGGAUCGCCUGAUUUGGGAGUUCAAGACCAGCCUGACCAACAGGGAGAAACCCCAUCUCUACUAAAAAUGCAAAAUUAGCCGGGCCUGAUGGUGCAUGCCUGUAAUCCCAGCUACUCGGGAGGCUGAGGCAGGAGAAUCGCUGAACCCGGGAAGCGGAGGUCGCGGUGAGCCAAGAUUUGUGCCAUUGCACUCCAGCCUGGGCAACAAAGAGCGAAACUCUGUCUCAAAAAAAAAAAAGAAAAAUUGUAAACUUUGUUAGGUAUAUUUUACCACAGUUUAAAAAAAAUAAAAUAUAAGACCUUGCAAAUAAUUUAUUUAAAGAGAAAGAAAAAUUUUGCCAGUUCUUCCAGCAUCUUAGAAGAGCUUGUUUCUGGAAGACUUUUUUUUCUUUGAGACAGAGUCUUGCUCUGUUUGCCCAGGCCAGAGUGCAAUGGUGUGAUGUCGGCUCACUGCAGCCUUGGCCUCCUGAGCUCACUCAAUUCUCCAACCUCAGCCUCCCUAGUGGCUGGAGUACAGGCGUGUGCCACCAGGCCUGGCUAAUUUUUUCUUGUAUUUUUUGUAGAGAUGGGUUUUUGCCAUGUUGCCCAGGCUGGUCUUGAACUCCUAGGCUCAAGCAAUCUGCCUGUCUCAGCCUCCCAAAGUGCUGGGAUUACAGACAAGAGCCACUGCGCCCAGCCUGGAAGACCAUCUUGAGGUCACCUGGACAGAGAUAGAGAAAUUUUGGGCAAAGCUGGGCAUGGUGGCUCACGCCUGUAAUCCCAGCACUUUUGGAGGCCAAGGCGGGCGGAUCACUUGAGGUCAGGAGUUCAAGACCAACCUGGCUAAUAUAGUGAAACUCCACCUCUACUAAAAAUACAAAAAUUAGCUGGGUGUGGUGGCGUGUGGCUGUAGUCCCAGCUACUAGGGAGGCUGAGGCAAGACAAUCGCUUGAACCUGGGAGGUGGAGGUUGCAGUGAGCCAAGAUUGCACGACUGCACUCCAGCCUGGGUGACAGAGCAAGACUCUGUCUCAAAACAAACACAAGAAAGAAAGUAUGGGAAGGCCUACAACCUGCAAAACUGCCCGAACACAAUUUGUAGUAAGUAAAAUACAAAAGCAUAAAGCAGCCUACCUUGGGGCUUUCUGAUGGUGAGGCAGUGGUCAGCCAUGAGGGAGCUGCAAGACCUAGGCACAACAGCUGAGUCCAGAGCAGGCUGGGAAUUGGGAGACUACAUCAUAGCAUUACUGAGCAAAGAAGCAGGCGGCUGCUUGGCCACAGGACACAGACAGCCCAGGACCCAAACUUGAGGCCAGCAAGGGGUCAGGAUUAAGCUGUUGCAGUUCAGUAUGGGCUGGAACAGGAAGUGAGAGAGGAAGGGGAGAAGUAGGAAGCCCUAAAUUGGGCCUUGCAAGACAGAGAAGACCUAUAGAGAUGGGCAUUCCAGGCAGGUGGAAUUGCAGAUGCAAGAGGGAGCUCUGGCGAGGCUCCAGGAUUCAGGAGAGCUGGGCAGAUGGGUCCCUAUCUCAUGAGCUUCCUACAGUGAUAGCUUUGGCCCUACUGCCUUUCCUUCCCCUGGCCUCUACUCCCGAGGUGGAAUGGGAACACCUUGUCCCCACAUGGUGCUUCUGGAGUUGAACUACAACAAAAGAAAUAAAGUAUUCUGUGAGUUCCAGGGUGUAUUCAUUUGCUAGAGUGGCCAUAGGAAAGUACCACAUACUGAGUAGGUUAAGCAGAAAUGUAUUUCCUCACAACAGCCUCCCCAUCACACCCAGCAGAGUUGGAUGGGCCCUUAAAAACACACACACCCUUCCCCAUUUUACCAAUGUAGAAACCCAGGCCUGGACUGGGGAGGGGACCACCCAAAGUCUCAACAAGUGAAUAUACAUGAGUCUGGGCUGCACUUUGGGAGGCAGAGGCAGAGGCAAACAGAUCACCUGAGGUCAGGAGUUCAAGAUCAGCUUUGCCAACAUGGUGAAACUCCAUCUCUACUAAAAAAUACAAACAUUAGCCAGGCAUGGUGGCGGGCACCUGUAAUCCCAGCUACUUGGGAGGCUGAGGCAGGGGAAUCGCUUGUACCCGGGAGGCAGAGGUUGCAGUGAGCUGAGAUCAUGCCACUGCACUCCAGACUGGGGACAGAGCGAGACUCUGUCUCAAAAAAAAAAAAAAAAAAAAAAAAAAAAGAGUCUGGGCUGGGCAUGAGUCUCAUCUCUCUCAGUUCUUUUAUUCAACAAAUAUUUAUUCAACACCCACAGUGUCCUAGACAUUUGUUCUAGGUGCUGUUGAUCAAAACAGGUAAAGAGCUCUGCCCACAUGAGGUCCCAUUUUAGGGAGGGACAUAGACAUUAACACAAUAAAGAAUAGACAGUAUGUUAGAUGGCAACAACUGUUGUGGUUGGA
Molecule: long non-coding RNA, 5106 nt
Filed under: Homo sapiens (human)
Lineage: Eukaryota; Metazoa; Chordata; Mammalia; Primates; Hominidae
Description: non-protein coding lnc-SCAP-1:3
Source: RNAcentral